CGAGGUGCUGCAUGGUUGUCGUCAGCUCGUGCCGUGAGGUGUCGGGUUAAGGUCCCAUAACGAGCGCAACCCCUACCUGCUAGUUGCCAGCGGGUCAUGCCGGGGACUCUAGCGGAACUGCCAGCGUAAGCUGCGAGGAAGGUGGGGAUGACGUCAAAUCAGCACGGCCCUUACGUCCAGGGCUACACACGUGUUACAAUGGCCGGUACAGAGGGCAGCCACCCCGCGAGGGGGCGCGAAUCCCGAAAGCCGGUCCCAGUUCGGAUCGGAGUCUGCAACCCGACUCCGUGAAGCUGGAUUCGCUAGUAAUCGCGCAUCAGCCACGGCGCGGUGAAUACGUUCCCGGGCCUU
This 351-nucleotide ribosomal RNA is filed under the name uncultured Rikenellaceae bacterium. RNAcentral's name for it is "bacterial SSU rRNA". It matches the Rfam family "Bacterial small subunit ribosomal RNA", at positions 1034 to 1382 of the family's 1533-position model. The record is from RNAcentral. Lineage: Bacteria; Pseudomonadati; Bacteroidota; Bacteroidia; Bacteroidales; Rikenellaceae.